RNAcentral lists this transfer RNA (34 nucleotides) under Bacopa caroliniana. Its description in RNAcentral is "partial tRNA-Leu". RNAcentral also lists the same sequence under 30 other names. The record is from RNAcentral. Lineage: Eukaryota; Viridiplantae; Streptophyta; Magnoliopsida; Lamiales; Plantaginaceae.
AGAGGAAAAUCCGUCGACUUUAAAAAUCGUGAGG